Molecule: ribosomal RNA, 253 nt
Filed under: uncultured bacterium
Lineage: Bacteria
Description: partial 16S ribosomal RNA
Rfam family: Bacterial small subunit ribosomal RNA
Source: RNAcentral
UACGUAGGGUCCAAGCGUUAUCCGGAAUCACUGGGCGUAAAGGGUGCGUAGGCGGUCGGGUAAGUCUGAUGUGAAAUCUCACAGCUUAACUGUGAAACUGCAUUGGAUACUAUCCGGCUCGAGGAAUGGAGGGGAGACUGGAAUACUUGGUGUAGCAGUGAAAUGCGUAGAUAUCAAGUGGAACACCAGUGGCGAAGGCGAGUCUCUGGACAUUUCCUGACGCUGAGGCACGAAAGCCAGGGGAGCAAAUGGG